UAAUAUUUCAGGUUGAGAAGUCUCCUUCCCCCUUCUCUACUUUUUACCCCCGCUCCCCUUUGGCUCCCCCAAUGUCUUUAAGCUUUUAAGCCCUUCAUAUAAACCACAAAACCCUACACUCUCUAAUCUCAGCUCCCCAACAAAACCCAAAACCACAACAAAAAAUAAGAAGAGAUGUCUCAGCAUUCCUCUCCAUUCCCCUCUUGCUUUCGCCCCUCCAAUAAUGAAACCCACAAAUCUCUACCGCCGCCGCCGCCCCCACCACCCACCUCAGGUAAUCCCAACCUCACCACCUGCCUCUACCACACUGCCCUUGGCCUUUUCUCUCUAACCUGGUCUCGCUCUCUCCUUGGCCGCUCUCUUCACCUUAAUCUCCUCCCCCGUCAUCACCACAUAUUCGACUCUCCUCCUGUUUCUUCUUCUUCUUCUUCUCCUUCUUCCCAAUACACUUUCCACCUCCACAUCAAACCCCUUAUUUUCUGGAAAAAGCAUGGAUCCAAAAGGCUCAACGCCAACACUCAAAUUUUUUGGGACCUUACCAGAGCCAAGUUCGGGUCUGGACCUGAACCCCAAUCCAAGUUCUACAUAGCCGUAGUUGUUGACAAAGAAAUUACCCUUCUCGUUGGAGACUCCACCAAAGAAGCCUAUGCCAAAACCAAAGCCCAAAGGCCUAAAAGUAACCAAGUUCUUGUCUUGAAAAGAGAGCAUGUCUUUGCCAACAAAAUUUACACCACGAGAGCAAGAUUUGGAGGCAAAACCAGGGAAAUUCAAAUAGAUUGCGGGUACAAUGAUGACACCAGGCUCAGUUUCAGCGUGGAUAACAAAAGGGUCUUGCAGAUAAAGCGCCUAAAGUGGAAAUUCAGAGGCAAUGAGAGAAUUGAAGUUGAUGGGGUGCCUGUACAGAUCUCAUGGGACGUGUACAACUGGUUGUUCGAGAAAGACAACGAUGAUAGACACGCGGUUUUCAUGUUCAGGUUUGAAGGAGAUGAAGAUAGAGAAAAGGAAGCGAAUUCUUCCUCGGGUGAGAAAAAUGGGAUGGCUUUGUGGACACAACAGAGCUGGAGCUAUGGCUUGAGUGGGAUUGAAUGGAGAAAGAUGAGGAAAAGCUUGUCAUCGUCUUCGACUUCUAUGUGGUCUUCGGCAGGGUCUUCUGGAGGAAGCUCUGUAAUGGAAUGGGCCAGCACAGAGGAGAGUGAAUUGGGCGGCCCAUCUGGGUUUUCAUUGCUGGUUUAUGCUUGGAAGAGAUGAAAAAGCUGUGAAGAAAAGGUUUUGGCUGGAUUAUCUUUCACAAAUUUGGUAUUGUUUAAUUGAUUAGUUUGUCUUCACUAACUCAUUUGUUCAUGAACAUAGAAGAAUAAAGCAAUUUACAAGAUAAUAUAUAUAUGGAUUUCAUUUAUACAUACGUAGCUAGAUCUAACAACUUCUUUUAAGGAGUACUGAAAUGAAUGCUUUUCUCUUUCUUGUGGAAUUUAUUGUUCUUUGGAUCAUUAGUACAAGAAUGUAUUUGUUUAUUUUUGGUUACGAUUUUGGUGUAAAUUAAGUUGUCAAGCAUAUUGAUAAAUGCAAAGCAGAAGUGAUUGGCUAUAA
Molecule: RNA transcript, 1587 nt
Organism: Quercus lobata
Lineage: Eukaryota; Viridiplantae; Streptophyta; Magnoliopsida; Fagales; Fagaceae
Exons: 2
Source: RefSeq, a predicted model, not a curated record